GUAUAAACAAAUCUAUACGUGAAACUGCGAAUGGCUCAUUAUAUCAGUUAUAGUUUAUUUGAUGGUUCUUGCUACUUGGAUAACCGUAGUAAUUCUAGAGCUAAUACAUGCGUCAAACCCCGACUUCUGGGAGGGGUGUAUUUAUUAGAUGGAAACCAAUGCGGGGCAACCCGGUAUAUGGUGAUUCAUAAUAACUUUCGGAUCGAUCUUCGGAUCGAUGCAUCAUUCAAGUUUCUGCCCUAUCAGCUUUGGAUGGUAGGGUAUUGGCCUACCAUGGCUUUAACGGGUAACGGAGAAUUAGGGUUCGAUUCCGGAGAGGGAGCCUGAGAAAUGGCUACC
RNAcentral lists this ribosomal RNA (339 nucleotides) under Ochromonas sp. RNAcentral's name for it is "SSU rRNA". It matches the Rfam family "Eukaryotic small subunit ribosomal RNA", at positions 63 to 411 of the family's 1831-position model. Lineage: Eukaryota; Chrysophyceae; Chromulinales; Chromulinaceae. The record is from RNAcentral.